Molecule: ribosomal RNA, 855 nt
Filed under: uncultured Clostridia bacterium
Lineage: Bacteria; Bacillati; Bacillota; Clostridia
Description: bacterial SSU rRNA
Rfam family: Bacterial small subunit ribosomal RNA
Source: RNAcentral
GAUGAACGCUGGCGGCGUGCCUAACACAUGCAAGUCGAGCGCGUCUGAUUUGAUGCUUGCAUUGAUGAAAGAUGAGCGGCGGACGGGUGAGUAACGCGUGGGUAACCUGCCCUAUACACAUGGAUAACAUACUGAAAAGUUUACUAAUACAUGAUAAUAUAUAUUUACGGCAUCGUAGAUAUAUCAAAGUGUUAGCGGUAUAGGAUGGACCCGCGUCUGAUUAGCUAGUUGGUGAGAUAACUGCCCACCAAGGCGACGAUCAGUAGCCGACCUGAGAGGGUGAUCGGCCACAUUGGAACUGAGACACGGUCCAAACUCCUACGGGAGGCAGCAGUGGGGAAUAUUGCACAAUGGGCGCAAGCCUGAUGCAGCAACGCCGCGUGAACGAUGAAGGUCUUCGGAUCGUAAAGUUCUGUUGCAGGGGAAGAUAAUGACGGUACCCUGUGAGGAAGCCCCGGCUAACUACGUGCCAGCAGCCGCGGUAAUACGUAGGGGGCUAGCGUUAUCCGGAUUUACUGGGCGUAAAGGGUGCGUAGGUGGUCUUUCAAGUCGGUGGUUAAAGGCUACGGCUCAACCGUAGUUAGCCUCCGAAACUGGAAGACUUGAGUGCAGGAGAGGAAAGUGGAAUUCCCAGUGUAGCGGUGAAAUGCGUAGAUAUUGGGAGGAACACCAGUAGCGAAGGCGACUUUCUGGACUGCAACUGACACUGAGGCACGAAAGCGUGGGUAGCAAACAGGAUUAGAUACCCUGGUAGUCCACGCUGUAAACGAUGAGUACUAGGUGUCGGGGGUUACCCCCCUCGGUGCCGCAGCUAACGCAUUAAGUACUCCGCCUGGGGAGUACGCACGCAAGUGG